UCCCUGGUGGCUCAGUUGGUAAAGAAUCUGCCUGCAAUGCAGGAGACCCUGGUUCAACUCCUGGGUUGGGAA
This 72-nucleotide transfer RNA is filed under the name Ovis aries (sheep). It matches the Rfam family "tRNA". Rfam says of the family: Transfer RNA (tRNA) molecules are approximately 80 nucleotides in length. Their secondary structure includes four short double-helical elements and three loops (D, anti-codon, and T loops). The record is from Rfam by way of RNAcentral. Lineage: Eukaryota; Metazoa; Chordata; Mammalia; Artiodactyla; Bovidae.